UCCUCAAGCCAUUUUCUAAUUAAAAAUAUAUAGCAAUUAAACUUUACAAUUUAGCCCCUAAACCUUAAUUAAUCAUUAAUUCGGCUAAAUUACUUAUCCAAAAUUUAAUUAAAUUAUAUAAUAACUAUGAAAAUAUAUUUAUUUAAUAUUUAUAGACUUAGUUUACAGAAACAGGGUCCCAAAACUGUAUUUUCUAACACCAC
This 203-nucleotide long non-coding RNA is filed under the name Gossypium barbadense (sea-island cotton). RNAcentral's name for it is "long non-coding RNA (GBAR_LNC005211)". The record is from RNAcentral. Lineage: Eukaryota; Viridiplantae; Streptophyta; Magnoliopsida; Malvales; Malvaceae.